RNAcentral lists this ribosomal RNA (253 nucleotides) under uncultured bacterium. RNAcentral's name for it is "partial 16S ribosomal RNA". It matches the Rfam family "Bacterial small subunit ribosomal RNA", at positions 524 to 776 of the family's 1533-position model. The record is from RNAcentral.
GACAGAGGCCUCAAGCGUUAGGCGGAAUCACUGGGCUUAAAGCGUGUGUAGGCGGACGCCUAAGUACCUUGUGAAAUCCCACGGCUCACCCGUGGAACGGCUGGGUAUACUGGGCGUCUUGGGCCAACUAGGGGCAACUGGAACAAGCGGUGGAGCGGUGAAAUGCGUAGAUAUCGGGAGGAACACCAGUGGCGAAGGCGAUCACCUGGGGUUGUUCUGACGCUGAGGAGCGAAAGCUAGGGGAGCAAACGGG